AGUGAACGCUGGCGGCAGGCCUAAUACAUGCAAGUCGAACGGCAGCACAAGAGAGCUUGUUCUCUGGUUUUCGCGGGGCGCACGGGAGUGGAACGUAUCGGAAUCUGCUCAUUUGCGGGGGAUAACUUCGGGAAACCGGGACUAAUACCGCAUAUGACUUACGGCUGAAAGUUGGGGAUCUUCGGACCUUGUUCAUAUCGAUGAUCCCGUGCCGGAUUAGCUAGUUGGUGAGGUAAAGGCUCACCAAGGCAACGAUCCAUAGCUGAUCUGAGAGGGUGAUCGGCCACACUGGAACUGAGACACGGCCCAGACUCCUACGGGAGGCAGCAGUAGGGAAUAUUCGACAAUGGGCGCAAGCCUGAUCGAGCCAUGCCGCGUGUGUGAAGAAGGCCUUCGGGUUGUAAAACACUUUUGUUGGGGAAGAAAAGCAGUCGAUUAAUACCCGGUUGUCAUGACGGUACCCAAUGAGUAAGCACCGGCUAACUUCGUG
This 490-nucleotide ribosomal RNA is filed under the name uncultured bacterium. Its description in RNAcentral is "partial 16S ribosomal RNA". It matches the Rfam family "Bacterial small subunit ribosomal RNA", at positions 29 to 507 of the family's 1533-position model. The record is from RNAcentral.